This 86-nucleotide transfer RNA is filed under the name Kamagatella elastica. Its description in RNAcentral is "Gottschalkiaceae bacterium SANA tRNA-Tyr". It matches the Rfam family "tRNA". From Rfam's summary of the family: Transfer RNA (tRNA) molecules are approximately 80 nucleotides in length. Their secondary structure includes four short double-helical elements and three loops (D, anti-codon, and T loops). Lineage: Bacteria; Bacillati; Bacillota; Tissierellia; Tissierellales; Kamagatellaceae. The record is from RNAcentral.
GGGGGGGUUCCCGAGUUGGCCAAAGGGGACGGACUGUAAAUCCGUUAGCUGCGCUUUCACUGGUUCGAAUCCAGUCCCCCCCACCA